Molecule: ribosomal RNA, 459 nt
Filed under: uncultured bacterium
Lineage: Bacteria
Description: partial 16S ribosomal RNA
Rfam family: Bacterial small subunit ribosomal RNA
Source: RNAcentral
CCUACGGGGGGCAGCAGUGAGGAAUAUUGGUCAAUGGGCUAAGGCCUGAACCAGCCAAGUCGCGUGAGGGAAGACGGUCCUAUGGAUUGUAAACCUCUUUUGUCGGGGAGCAACGAGGCCACGUGUGGCCGACGUGAGAGUACCCGAAGAAAAAGCAUCGGCUAACUCCGUGCCAGCAGCCGCGGUAAUACGGAGGAUGCGAGCGUUAUCCGGAUUUAUUGGGUUUAAAGGGUGCGUAGGCGGAACAUUAAGUCAGCGGUAAAAUCGAGGGGCUCAACCCCUUUAAGCCGUUGAAACUGGUGAUCUGGAGUGGGCGAGAAGUAUGCGGAAUGCGUGGUGUAGCGGUGAAAUGCAUAGAUAUCACGCAGAACUCCGAUUGCGAAGGCAGCAUACCGGCGCCCGACUGACGCUGAGGCACGAAAGCGUGGGGAUCGAACAGGAUUAGAUACCCCUGUAGUC